RNAcentral lists this ribosomal RNA (429 nucleotides) under Bacillota bacterium. Its description in RNAcentral is "Firmicutes bacterium partial 16S ribosomal RNA". It matches the Rfam family "Bacterial small subunit ribosomal RNA", at positions 355 to 776 of the family's 1533-position model. Lineage: Bacteria; Bacillati; Bacillota. The record is from RNAcentral.
UAGGGAAUCUUCAGCAAUGGACGGAAGUCUGACCGAGCAACGCCGCGUGAGUGAAGAAGGUUUUCGGAUCGUAAAGCUCUGUUGUUAGAGAAGAACGUUGGUAGGAGUGGAAAAUCUACCAAGUGACGGUAACUAACCAGAAAGGGACGGCUAACUACGUGCCAGCAGCCGCGGUAAUACGUAGGUCCCGAGCGUUGUCAGGAUUUAUUGGGCGUAAAGCGAGCGCAGGCGGUUCUUUAAGUCUGAAGUUAAAGGCAGUGGCUUAACCAUUGUACGCUUUGGAAACUGGAGGACUUGAGUGCAGAAGGGGAGAGUGGAAUUCCAUGUGUAGCGGUGAAAUGCGUAGAUAUAUGGAGGAACACCGGUGGCGAAAGCGGCUCUCUGGUCUGUAACUGACGCUGAGGCUCGAAAGCGUGGGGAGCAAACAGG